This 608-nucleotide long non-coding RNA is filed under the name Columba livia (rock pigeon). Its description in RNAcentral is "partial uncharacterized LOC102083992". The record is from RNAcentral. Lineage: Eukaryota; Metazoa; Chordata; Aves; Columbiformes; Columbidae.
UCGAAGGAGGAGCAGCCCCUUCAAAAACGAGCUGUGUGCCUGGGCUUUGCCCCCACCGCGCUCCUCCGGCGAGGCCCCGGCCCCACGCCGGCCCCGCACCACUGGCCUCUUGCCACGCUGGCCCCGCACCACCAGCCCUGCCCGCCCGGGACCAGGCUGGCUCAGCACGGCAGAGCCCACAGCUGAUUGCUCAGUCUGCUUUACAACACUGAGCUUUUACUUGGAAAUAGCCCCUUCAGCCUGAAAGCAGAAGCUCUGACAAAGACAAAUCCAUUCAUAUCAGGGCCACACUGUUAGAGAUCAGCGCUGAGGCUGAGGGAAGUCUGGGCACUGGUACCUGCUGAAGACCCCGCUCCAUCUUUCUUCAUGCAGCCUCCCAUCACACCUGGAUGUGGCUGAGACACCUUUUGGGGCUGACAGGUUCAUUCUUCUUUCCCUGCUGUGCUUUCAGUACUGUGUGGUGUCUAAUUCACAUCGUUUUCAGGCAGAGAGUGCACAUCCCUGUUUUAAUAACAUCAGCAAAAACUAUGCAAACCAUUCAGAGCUUGUUAAAAAUCUUUCACUUUUCCUGGUACAGUGGAGUUCAAUGAGGAAGACGAGUAAUUUGG